UUUAAAGCUUAAUUAGUAAAGUAUUUCAUUUACAUUGAAAAGAAAUUUGUGCAAAUCAAUUUAAAUUGAUUA
This 72-nucleotide transfer RNA is filed under the name Aedes aegypti (yellow fever mosquito). RNAcentral's name for it is "tRNA-Val". It matches the Rfam family "tRNA". Rfam says of the family: Transfer RNA (tRNA) molecules are approximately 80 nucleotides in length. Their secondary structure includes four short double-helical elements and three loops (D, anti-codon, and T loops). Further hydrogen bonds mediate the characteristic L-shaped molecular structure. tRNAs have two regions of fundamental functional importance: the anti-codon, which is responsible for specific mRNA codon recognition, and the 3' end, to which the tRNAs corresponding amino acid is attached (by aminoacyl-tRNA synthetases). tRNAs cope with the degeneracy of the genetic code in two manners: having more than one tRNA (with a specific anti-codon) for a particular amino acid; and 'wobble' base-pairing, i.e. permitting non-standard base-pairing at the 3rd anti-codon position. Lineage: Eukaryota; Metazoa; Arthropoda; Insecta; Diptera; Culicidae. The record is from RNAcentral. RNAcentral also lists the same sequence under 1 other name.